RNAcentral lists this ribosomal RNA (453 nucleotides) under Hanseniaspora opuntiae. Its description in RNAcentral is "LSU rRNA". It matches the Rfam family "Eukaryotic large subunit ribosomal RNA", at positions 149 to 604 of the family's 3401-position model. The record is from RNAcentral. Lineage: Eukaryota; Fungi; Ascomycota; Saccharomycetes; Saccharomycodales; Saccharomycodaceae.
UUUGUAGAAUUUGUCUUUGAUUAGGUCCUUGUCUAUGUUCCUUGGAACAGGACGUCAUAGAGGGUGAGAAUCCCGUUUGGCGAGGAUACCUUUUCUCUGUAAGACUUUUUCGAAGAGUCGAGUUGUUUGGGAAUGCAGCUCAAAGUGGGUGGUAAAUUCCAUCUAAAGCUAAAUAUUGGCGAGAGACCGAUAGCGAACAAGUACAGUGAUGGAAAGAUGAAAAGAACUUUGAAAAGAGAGUGAAAAAGUACGUGAAAUUGUUGAAAGGGAAGGGCAUUUGAUCAGACAUGGUGUUUUUUGCAUGCACUCGCCUCUCGUGGGCUUGGGCCUCUCAAAAAUUUCACUGGGCCAACAUCAAUUCUGGCAGUAGGAUAAAUCAUUAAGAAUGUAGCUACCUCGGUAGUGUUAUAGCUUAUUGGAAUACUGCUAGCUGGGAUUGAGGACUGCGCUUCG